UAUAUUUGACAACUUUCAGUGUUUUUUCCUUCUCUCUGGAACUUAAAAAUACAGAACCCUGUGAAAAUGAAUGAGAAGCCCUGCUUAUGUAAAGCUGGUAGAGCUUUGCUGCACAUUCAGAUUGUAUUUGAGGCAAAGCUUAACAUGCAGAUGAGGUUUUAUAAUUCUUCAUCCCUCCUGCUCUUCUUUAUUUCCCUAUAAUGGAUUUUGAUUUAUUUGAUGAUGGGAUCAGACUUCUCUCCUCUGUAUCAUCAGGAACCUUCACAAGUUUUCUGCUAAGGGAAGGGAUAGUAAAAUUUGCAUUGUGUUUUUUUGUUAUUUUCCUUCCACUGCAGCUCUGAGAUUUGCAAAACCCUGCCUGUGUAACUCAGAAGUGAAUCUCCUUUUGAUAUUGGAUAUUCCUUUUGUUUCCUUGCAUGCUGUAAACAGCAACAGCACCUGGGAGCUGAGCGUCAGCACAACACAGCAUGGGAGUGUCUGUCUGUGUAAGCAAAGCAGAGAUGAUCACUUCGAUCAGCCCUGGUGCCAGCACUGCCAGCCCUUUUCCCACUGCACACAGGAGCACAUCCCAUAAAUAUGGAGUGACUGCAGCCAGCCAUCUGCAAGGGAACCAACAUUCAGCUGCCAUAAGCAGGAACCCCGCUUGCUGCUGCAGAGAGGCAUGCACCAGAAGCUGACCUCCUUAUCUUGAAUUUCAUACAUAAUGAGUAGCUAAAUCUGACACCAAAUGAUUUUAGGAAGAAAAUUCAAAGUCAAGUCAUUUCCUUUGAAAAAGCCAUUUGAAACCUUUAGGGAAGGUUUCUGGGAACAUAAUUUAAAACUCAUUUCCCCACACAAGUGAUUUGGAUUAAUUUCAAUAAAUCCAGUGUUUACUAUGAACAGAACUCCUCCUCUCUCACCACAAGCCCUGGACACUUUGGACUACUCUUUCAUUUGUUGCUCCCUCUAAAAGUGCUCCCUCAUUCUGCUUGUGUAAUUCAGAUGUGUUUUUAUCUGCAAGAAAAUGCCGCUUCAGCUAUUGAGACUAAGCUGUGGGAGAAGUGCCUGGCCUCGGCUGCGCUGCAGUCCCUCCUCAAGCCAUGCCCAGGAAGCGUGACCCUCGAUUUUCUCAUGGGCACCUCCACUGAGGAUACUCAAGGACUAGAGGAGAAGCUGAGCUGUCUGGCACUAACUCUAUUGGAAAGCACUGUUUGCAUUUGUAAUGCAAAGCAGACAUGAUUUCAGAACCUGAUCUCUUUGACAACAAAGGCUGUAGAAGAUUAGAAAUACUUAGAUUUGCAGUUCAUUAAAAAAUGUAUUUCCCUCUGUAAAAGGAAUUGGUUUUCUUAACUCAUUUGCCUUGCUUCUCUCUUGAGUGU
Hirundo rustica (Barn swallow) is the source of this 1358-nucleotide long non-coding RNA. RefSeq lists it as uncharacterized. The transcript is spliced from 4 exons. The record is from RefSeq and is a predicted model, not a curated record. NCBI's taxonomy places the organism in Eukaryota, Metazoa, Chordata, Aves, Passeriformes, Hirundinidae.